GUUCUUAUUCGGUCCGCUUCU
This 21-nucleotide microRNA is filed under the name Drosophila yakuba. RNAcentral's name for it is "dya-miR-9683-5p". The record is from miRBase by way of RNAcentral. Lineage: Eukaryota; Metazoa; Arthropoda; Insecta; Diptera; Drosophilidae.